Long non-coding RNA from Chinchilla lanigera (long-tailed chinchilla), 1588 nucleotides. RefSeq lists it as uncharacterized. Lineage: Eukaryota; Metazoa; Chordata; Mammalia; Rodentia; Chinchillidae. The record is from RefSeq and is a predicted model, not a curated record. The transcript has 3 exons.
CGGGGCGCCGCGGGAAUUCUGACCUCAGCGGGGGCGUGCGGUCCGGGGCCCUAGCUGCUGGACGGGGGCUGGCGAAAGCCCCGGCCUGGGAGUCAGACUGUGUCCGGUCCAGCGUCCCCAGCAGGUGUGUGCCCUUGGAAGAUUUAACCUCCUUCAGUCUCAGUGCCUUCAUCUAUAAAUGAGGUACCGGUCACCCCCGAGAACUGUUGUAAAAGAGCGGUAACGCGCGGGAGUUUGGCGCCCGGCACCUGAUGACAGCGAUAGUUCCCCCCAAGUGCCCGCCGUGACUCGGACAUGGCUGGUGCAGGGGAAGGUGAGGCUCUUGUGAGGGCCUGAAAGGGGAAGGCACCACCCAAUGAGGACCCUCAGAUCUCCCAGGAGUAAGAAUGGAGCCUCCAGAACUCCCUUGGGAGCCUCUUGAAAACACCUUUCAAUCAUCUGAAGUACCUGUGGUCAUUUUGGGCAGGAUAUCUCACCAAAUCCAUCUGCCAGGAGGCCUUGGUACUGAGCCUCUGUGCGAGCUGAUGUUAACCAAGCGAAGAAGGAAGGACUGGUCCACGCUGAGAGGACAAGGUGCAGGGGCCGUGGCAGGUGAAGGCAAGCAAUGGAAGGUGUCAUGAAAUCUGGAUGUGUGGAGCCAGGGCACUCGAUCCUGUGAGGUGGGACAUCGGGGUGCAAGGGUGCGAUCGUAGGAAGCCUCGGGAACUGUGGCAGGAACACUUGUCUGAGGGUCAGACUGGUGUUUUGGAAAGUUCACUGGUCCAGGUGCAGAACAUGGGUGGGAAUGGGGCUGAGGCGGGGGCUAUUGCAGGAGGGCUGUCGGAAGGUUCUGGCAGCUCGGGGAAGAUGGACAGAAAUGGGUGCAACAUAGAGUCACCAGCAGUAAGUCAGUGUUUGUUCAGCACCCACUCUGUGCUUUGCUCUGUCGCCAAUCUUGAAGACACAGCAGAAGACAAGACAGACCGGCUCCUGUCCCUGUGGAGAGGACCGCUGGCUCCAGGCUUCUGGCUGGCACAGCUGCGUGGAGAGUGAGACAGGAACUCCAGAAGAAAGAACAAGUUCCAUUUUGGACACACUGAGCUUUGGGGGCCUUUGAGCUUCCCAGAGGAGGUAGAGAAUGGAUUGUUGGAGUUUGAGGGAAAGAUAUGGGCUGGAAAUAAGGGUCUGCUUAUUCGUCAGACCCCAGAAUCAAAUCAAGAGAGAGAGGUAGCAGCGAGCAGCUGCUGUGGCCUGGAUGUGAUUUGUUCCCUGAGAGCUCAUGGGUCAGGAAGCGUGGUCCUCACUGUGAGGGUGUUAGGAAGGACUGGACCCUGUAGGAGCUGGGGCCUCCGGGAUGGAAUGCGGCCAUGGUGGGUGCGCCCUCCAGAAAGGACCCUUAGGGGACUAACGCCUCUGGAUCGCUCUUGCUUCCUGUCUUGCCGUGUGAUCUCUGCCUCUCACACUCUCCCACCAUGAUGUGCGCUGUGAUGCAGCCAAAGGGCACUCAAGAGGCCAGGAGCCGUCAAGGACUCUGAGCCUCUAAAACAGUGAGCUACGUGAACCAACCUUCCUUCCCUCCCUCCUUCCUUCCUUCUUUCCAAUACUGGGA